ACACAUGCAAGUCGAGGGGCAUCAGGAAGAAAGCUUGCUUUCUUUGCUGGCGACCGGCGCACGGGUGAGUAACACGUAUCCAACCUGCCCUUUACUCGGGGAUAGCCUUUCGAAAGAAAGAUUAAUACCCGAUAGCAUAAUGAUUCCGCAUGGUUUCAUUAUUAAAGGAUUCCGGUAAAGGAUGGGGAUGCGUUCCAUUAGGUUGUUGGUGGGGUAACGGCCCACCAAGCCUUCGAUGGAUAGGGGUUCUGAGAGGAAGGUCCCCCACAUUGGAACUGAGACACGGUCCAAACUCCUACGGGAGGCAGCAGUGAGGAAUAUUGGUCAAUGGGCGCUAGCCUGAACCAGCCAAGUAGCGUGAAGGAUGAAGGCUCUAUGGGUCGUAAACUUCUUUUAUAUAAGAAUAAAGUGCAGUAUGUAUACUGUUUUGUAUGUAUUAUAUGAAUAAGGAUCGGCUAACUCCGUGCCAGCAGCCGCGGUAAUACGGAGGAUCCGAGCGUUAUCCGGAUUUAUUGGGUUUAAAGGGAGCGUAGGUGGACUGGUAAGUCAGUUGUGAAAGUUUGCGGCUCAACCGUAAAAUUGCAGUUGAUACUGUCAGUCUUGAGUACAGUAGAGGUGGGCGGAAUUCGUGGUGUAGCGGUGAAAUGCUUAGAUAUCACGAAGAACUCCGAUUGCGAAGGCAGCUCACUGGACUGCAACUGACACUGAUGCUCGAAAGUGUGGGUAUCAAACAGGAUUAGAUACCCUGGUAGUCCACACAGUAAACGAUGAAUACUCGCUGUUUGCGAUAUACAGUAAGCGGCCAAGCGAAAGCAUUAAGUAUUCCACCUGGGGAGUACGCCGGCAACGGUGAAACUCAAAGGAAUUGACGGGGGCCCGCACAAGCGGAGGAACAUGUGGUUUAAUUCGAUGAUACGCGAGGAACCUUACCCGGGCUUAAAUUGCAGUGGAAUGAUGUGGAAACAUGUCAGUGAGCAAUCACCGCUGUGAAGGUGCUGCAUGGUUGUCGUCAGCUCGUGCCGUGAGGUGUCGGCUUAAGUGCCAUAACGAGCGCAACCCUUAUCUUUAGUUACUAACAGGUCAUGCUGAGGACUCUAGAGAGACUGCCGUCGUAAGAUGUGAGGAAGGUGGGGAUGACGUCAAAUCAGCACGGCCCUUACGUCCGGGGCUACACACGUGUUACAAUGGGGGGUACAGAAGGCAGCUAGCGGGUGACCGUAUGCUAAUCCCAAAAGCCUCUCUCAGUUCGGAUCGAAGUCUGCAACCCGACUUCGUGAAGCUGGAUUCGCUAGUAAUCGCGCAUCAGCCAUGGCGCGGUGAAUACGUUCCCGGGCCUUGUACACACCGCCCGUCAAGCCAUGAAAGCCGGGGGUACCUGAAGUACGUAACCGCAAGGAUCGUCCUAGGGUAAAACUGGUGACUGGGGCUAA
RNAcentral lists this ribosomal RNA (1430 nucleotides) under uncultured organism. RNAcentral's name for it is "16S ribosomal RNA". It matches the Rfam family "Bacterial small subunit ribosomal RNA". The record is from RNAcentral.